GUCUUAGUAGCGUAGUGGUUAGUGCACAGCCCCGGAAAGGUUGAGACGCGGGUUCGAUUCCCGUCUGAGCUG
This 72-nucleotide transfer RNA is filed under the name Nippostrongylus brasiliensis. It matches the Rfam family "tRNA". Rfam says of the family: Transfer RNA (tRNA) molecules are approximately 80 nucleotides in length. Their secondary structure includes four short double-helical elements and three loops (D, anti-codon, and T loops). The record is from Rfam by way of RNAcentral. Lineage: Eukaryota; Metazoa; Nematoda; Chromadorea; Rhabditida; Heligmosomidae.